Molecule: ribosomal RNA, 2924 nt
Filed under: Klebsiella quasipneumoniae
Lineage: Bacteria; Pseudomonadati; Pseudomonadota; Gammaproteobacteria; Enterobacterales; Enterobacteriaceae
Description: 23S ribosomal RNA
Rfam family: Bacterial large subunit ribosomal RNA
Source: RNAcentral
GGGUUGUGAGGUUAAGCGACUAAGCGUACACGGUGGAUGCCCUGGCAGUCAGAGGCGAUGAAGGACGUGCUAAUCUGCGAAAAGCGUCGGUAAGGUGAUAUGAACCGUUAUAACCGGCGAUGUCCGAAUGGGGAAACCCAGUGUGAUUCGUCACACUAUCGUUAACUGAAUACAUAGGUUAACGAGGCGAACCGGGGGAACUGAAACAUCUAAGUACCCCGAGGAAAAGAAAUCAACCGAGAUUCCCCCAGUAGCGGCGAGCGAACGGGGAGCAGCCCAGAGUCUGAAUCAGCUUGUGUGUUAGUGGAACGGUCUGGAAAGUCCGACGGUACAGGGUGAUAGUCCCGUACACCAAAAUGCACAGGUUGUGAACUCGAAGAGUAGGGCGGGACACGUGGUAUCCUGUCUGAAUAUGGGGGGACCAUCCUCCAAGGCUAAAUACUCCUGACUGACCGAUAGUGAACCAGUACCGUGAGGGAAAGGCGAAAAGAACCCCGGCGAGGGGAGUGAAAAAGAACCUGAAACCGUGUACGUACAAGCAGUGGGAGCACCUUUAUGGUGUGACUGCGUACCUUUUGUAUAAUGGGUCAGCGACUUAUAUUCUGUAGCAAGGUUAACCGUAUAGGGGAGCCGCAGGGAAACCGAGUCUUAACUGGGCGUUAAGUUGCAGGGUAUAGACCCGAAACCCGGUGAUCUAGCCAUGGGCAGGUUGAAGGUUGGGUAACACUAACUGGAGGACCGAACCGACUAAUGUUGAAAAAUUAGCGGAUGACUUGUGGCUGGGGGUGAAAGGCCAAUCAAACCGGGAGAUAGCUGGUUCUCCCCGAAAGCUAUUUAGGUAGCGCCUCGUGAACUCAUCUUCGGGGGUAGAGCACUGUUUCGGCUAGGGGGUCAUCCCGACUUACCAACCCGAUGCAAACUACGAAUACCGAAGAAUGUUAUCACGGGAGACACACGGCGGGUGCUAACGUCCGUCGUGAAGAGGGAAACAACCCAGACCGCCAGCUAAGGUCCCAAAGUCAUGGUUAAGUGGGAAACGAUGUGGGAAGGCACAGACAGCCAGGAUGUUGGCUUAGAAGCAGCCAUCAUUUAAAGAAAGCGUAAUAGCUCACUGGUCGAGUCGGCCUGCGCGGAAGAUGUAACGGGGCUAAACCAUGCACCGAAGCUGCGGCAGCGACACUAUGUGUUGUUGGGUAGGGGAGCGUUCUGUAAGCCUGCGAAGGUGGCCUGUGAGGGUUGCUGGAGGUAUCAGAAGUGCGAAUGCUGACAUAAGUAACGAUAAAGCGGGUGAAAAGCCCGCUCGCCGGAAGACCAAGGGUUCCUGUCCAACGUUAAUCGGGGCAGGGUGAGUCGACCCCUAAGGCGAGGCCGAAAGGCGUAGUCGAUGGGAAACAGGUUAAUAUUCCUGUACUUGGUGUUACUGCGAAGGGGGGACGGAGAAGGCUAUGUUAGCCGGGCGACGGUUGUCCCGGUUUAAGCAUGUAGGCUGAUUAUCCAGGCAAAUCCGGAUAAUCAAGGCUGAGGUGUGAUGACGAGGCACUACGGUGCUGAAGUAACAAAUGCCCUGCUUCCAGGAAAAGCCUCUAAGCAUCAGGUAACAUCAAAUCGUACCCCAAACCGACACAGGUGGUCAGGUAGAGAAUACCAAGGCGCUUGAGAGAACUCGGGUGAAGGAACUAGGCAAAAUGGUGCCGUAACUUCGGGAGAAGGCACGCUGGUGUGUAGGUGAAGUCCCUGCGGAUGGAGCUGAGACCAGUCGAAGAUACCAGCUGGCUGCAACUGUUUAUUAAAAACACAGCACUGUGCAAACACGAAAGUGGACGUAUACGGUGUGACGCCUGCCCGGUGCCGGAAGGUUAAUUGAUGGGGUUAUCCGUAAGGAGAAGCUCUUGAUCGAAGCCCCGGUAAACGGCGGCCGUAACUAUAACGGUCCUAAGGUAGCGAAAUUCCUUGUCGGGUAAGUUCCGACCUGCACGAAUGGCGUAAUGAUGGCCAGGCUGUCUCCACCCGAGACUCAGUGAAAUUGAACUCGCUGUGAAGAUGCAGUGUACCCGCGGCAAGACGGAAAGACCCCGUGAACCUUUACUAUAGCUUGACACUGAACAUUGAGCCUUGAUGUGUAGGAUAGGUGGGAGGCUUUGAAGCGUGGACGCCAGUCUGCGUGGAGCCAACCUUGAAAUACCACCCUUUAAUGUUUGAUGUUCUAACGUUGGCCCCUAAUCGGGGUUGCGGACAGUGUCUGGUGGGUAGUUUGACUGGGGCGGUCUCCUCCCAAAGCGUAACGGAGGAGCACGAAGGUUAGCUAAUCCUGGUCGGACAUCAGGAGGUUAGUGCAAUGGCAUAAGCUAGCUUGACUGCGAGCGUGACGGCGCGAGCAGGUGCGAAAGCAGGUCAUAGUGAUCCGGUGGUUCUGAAUGGAAGGGCCAUCGCUCAACGGAUAAAAGGUACUCCGGGGAUAACAGGCUGAUACCGCCCAAGAGUUCAUAUCGACGGCGGUGUUUGGCACCUCGAUGUCGGCUCAUCACAUCCUGGGGCUGAAGUAGGUCCCAAGGGUAUGGCUGUUCGCCAUUUAAAGUGGUACGCGAGCUGGGUUUAGAACGUCGUGAGACAGUUCGGUCCCUAUCUGCCGUGGGCGCUGGAGAAUUGAGGGGGGCUGCUCCUAGUACGAGAGGACCGGAGUGGACGCAUCACUGGUGUUCGGGUUGUCAUGCCAAUGGCACUGCCCGGUAGCUAAAUGCGGAAGAGAUAAGUGCUGAAAGCAUCUAAGCACGAAACUUGCCCCGAGAUGAGUUCUCCCUGAGACUAUAAGUCUCCUGAAGGAACGUUAAAGACGAUGACGUUGAUAGGCCGGGUGUGUAAGCGCAGCGAUGCGUUGAGCUAACCGGUACUAAUGAACCGUGAGGCUUAACCUUACAACGCCGAAG